Molecule: ribosomal RNA, 253 nt
Filed under: uncultured bacterium
Lineage: Bacteria
Description: partial 16S ribosomal RNA
Rfam family: Bacterial small subunit ribosomal RNA
Source: RNAcentral
UACAGGGGGUGCAAACGUUGCUCGGAAUCAUUGGGCGUAAAGCGCACGUAGGCGGUCUGUCGCGUCGGCUGUGAAAUCCCGAGGCUCAACCUCGGGUCUGCAGUCGAUACGGGCAAACUAGAGUAUUGCAGGGGAGACUGGAAUUCCUGGUGUAGCGGUGAAAUGCGCAGAUAUCAGGAGGAACACCGGUGGCGAAGGCGGGUCUCUGGGCAAUAACUGACGCUGAGGAGCGAAAGCGUGGGGAGCGAACAGG